GCAAAAAUCAAAGGUGACAUAAAGCUACCUGCUUCCUUUCCCUGGUAGGAGAGCCCAUGCUGCGGCCACACAGACAGCUUUGGAUGAAUCACAGAAUUCCAGGAACCAGAGAGCAAACCUCACCGUGUGGGCAACGAGCAGAGCAGGAGCUGCCAGAGCAAUGCCGUGACUAAGGAGGCUAAUGUCAUCCUUGGAUGUAGAAUACCUUCAGUAGGAGUAAAGAGGGUGAUGGAGCUGACUCCGUUGGAACUGACUGCUGCUGCCAUUUUUCUGACAGGAUGAAUGAAGUCCAGAGUGUUCAAAGUAUCAGAGGAGGAAAACUUGUGGACUGGAACAGCACACCACACUGACAAAUGCAACUGUCACGUAAGACACAGGACAUUAGAUACAGGAAUCAAACUACAGCCAGCUAUCUGAGGAAAACUCUUCUUCUACCAGGCACUCAGGUUCCCCUAGCAGGAUUUUAACCAACCCUGGAAACCUGGUAAGGAUAUUUCUGCUAGUAGAUCUACACCUGUAGUGUAGGCAGGGUGCAGACAUUUUGCCGCAGUCAAACCAUAUGCAGCUUGAUUACACUUUGCUACAUUCUUGACAGCACUAAAGGAGCAUGAAGUAGCCAUUUUUUUAGUGUAAGUUUUUGUAAAAGGCACAGUACUGAAUGUUCAAGAUCACUGAGGAUCCAAAAUAUAUAUAUAUUGUGGUAAUGACCUUGAGGACAUGGAAAAGCAUGUUAUGUCACUUCAUGACAAAUAAGUAGAAUGACAUUUCAGGCCCUGUUAAUUUUACAAUGUCUUUAAAUUCAAUACAGCGCUAGGUACCAGGCCCCUUCCUACCAUGCUUUGACAGUUCUAAACUAAGCAUUGAAGGCUAGAUAUUAUAAUGCUAUAGCAUCUCCUUUUUUAUCAGUUAAAAAUUAAAG
RNAcentral lists this long non-coding RNA (919 nucleotides) under Apteryx owenii (little spotted kiwi). Its description in RNAcentral is "lncRNA (ENSAOWG00000001607.1)". The record is from RNAcentral. Lineage: Eukaryota; Metazoa; Chordata; Aves; Apterygiformes; Apterygidae.